Long non-coding RNA from Cyprinus carpio (common carp), 1143 nucleotides. NCBI's taxonomy places the organism in Eukaryota, Metazoa, Chordata, Actinopteri, Cypriniformes, Cyprinidae. The record is from Ensembl.
AUGAUGAGUCAGAUUGGUAACAUAGUGCAGCAAGUAGGCCUUCAACUGGCAGAUAGUAUCCUCGCACAUUUGAAUUUGCACAGUCAAUCAGAAGUUGCACCUAAGCAUACUCUAAAUAACCACAAUAGUAGAUACACGCCUGAGCAGUGCUCCAUGUCAAGUGCAUCACAGAUUCAAGUAGUGCGUCAGAGGGAAGUUAAAGAUCCUCCUACUUUCAGAGGCGAUACAUCAGACACUGUUACACUCGAUGAGUGGGUGGAGCUAAUGAAGAACUUCAUAAAAAAGGGGUUUCUGCCUACUGAAGAGCAAGGUGAAGAAAUUUUAAUCCACUGGAGAGGCAAAGCCAAAGAUGUUGUUAAAGUGGGGAUGCUGUCUAGCGGAUUAGAUAUCAGAACAAAUCCUGAUGCAAUCUACACUCUUUUACGGAAGCAUUUCAGUUGUCAACAGUAUUCUCCUGUCCCUUUGCAAGAUUUCUACACCACUCUUCCUGAACCUCAGGAGGAUCCCUUUGAUUACUGGUUACGCCUGAACCAUACUGCUAACGUCGCAGCUGAGUGUCUGAAACAACAGGGAAAGUUAUUAGACAACCAACUGAUCGAAGUCACACGCAUGUUCAUUAAGAAUUGUCCAAACUCAGAUCUAGCGCUGACAUUUCGUUCAAAAACCAUUGACAAAUGGACGGCUCAUGAAGUGCAAGAGAUCCUGAACGAGUAUCAUUCAGAGAAAAAUCUCAGAGCCACUGGACAAGGAAACAGACAGAUUGAAUGUGAAAAUAAAAUCACUAUGAAUGAGAUGCAUGUACGUCCUUGCCAAAACCCAGUGAAAGCUGAACAGGAUUCACUUCAGUCUAAACAGUCAGAAAACAUGGCUCUGGAAAAAGUGAUUGAUAUGUUAGAGAGAGUUCUGAUGAAUAAUAGUAGUAAUGCACAGGCGAGCAAGGAGUAUAGGAAGAGAAGCACCAUGCCUAGAAUUCCAGGCUUGAAUGAUACACCAUGCUUAGUGUGCAAGGACACCUCACAUUCUGCUUUUACUCACUGUAAAGAAAAAAGACUCUGUUUCCAGUGUUUUUCGCCUGACCAUCCCAGAUUCCGGUGUCCGAAGGAAAGGAAGAAUGCUUCCUCAGUCAACCAGCAGUCAAACUAA